UAACGAAUAUUCCGCAAUGGACGAAAGUCUGACGGAGCAAUGCCGCGUGCAGGAUGAAGCGGUUUCGCCGUGUAAACUGCUGUCAGGGGCAGGAAAAACUGAUCCGCCCCAAAGGAAGAGACGGCUAACCCUGUGCCAGCAGCCGCGGUAAUACAGGGGUCUCGAGCGUUAAUCGGAAUCACUGGGCUUAAAGGGUGCGUAGGCGGAUCCGUAAGCGCUUUGUGAAAUCCCCCGGCUCAACCGGGGAACUGCAGGGCGAACUGCGGAUCUUGAGGAAACUAGAGGCCGGUAGAACGAUUGGUGGAGCGGUGGAAUGCGUAGAUAUCAAUCGGAAUGCCAAAAGUGAAGACAGCCGGCUGGGGUUUUCCUGACGCUGAGGCACGAAAGCGUGGGGAGCAAACCGGAUUAGAUACCCAUGUAGUCCCUGAGCGGGCUGGCAAGGCGCAU
Molecule: ribosomal RNA, 447 nt
Filed under: uncultured bacterium
Lineage: Bacteria
Description: bacterial SSU rRNA
Rfam family: Bacterial small subunit ribosomal RNA
Source: RNAcentral